CGCGUAGGCGGCUUUGUAAGUCGGAUGUGAAAUCCCCGGGCUUAACCUGGGAACUGCAUUCGAUACUGCAUAACUAGAGUAUGGUAGAGGGAAGUGGAAUUCCGGGUGUAGCGGUGAAAUGCGUAGAUAUCCGGAGGAACACCAGUGGCGAAGGCGACUUCCUGGGCCAAUACUGACGCUGAGGUGCGAAAGCGUGGGGAGCAAACA
RNAcentral lists this ribosomal RNA (207 nucleotides) under uncultured bacterium. RNAcentral describes it as "partial 16S ribosomal RNA". It matches the Rfam family "Bacterial small subunit ribosomal RNA", at positions 568 to 774 of the family's 1533-position model. The record is from RNAcentral.